AGUAAUGUCUGGGAAACUGCCUGAUGAGGGGGGAUAACUACUGGAAACGGUAGCUAAUACCGCAUAACGUCGCAAGACCAAGUGGGGGACCUUCGGGCCUCAUGCCAUCAGAUGUGCCCAGAUGGGAUUAGCUAGUAGGUGGGGUAACGGCUCACCUAGGCGACGAUCCCUAGCUGGUCUGAGAGGAUGACCAGCCACACUGGAACUGAGACACGGUCCAG
Molecule: ribosomal RNA, 221 nt
Filed under: uncultured bacterium
Lineage: Bacteria
Description: partial 16S ribosomal RNA
Rfam family: Bacterial small subunit ribosomal RNA
Source: RNAcentral